Molecule: non-coding RNA, 27 nt
Filed under: Homo sapiens (human)
Lineage: Eukaryota; Metazoa; Chordata; Mammalia; Primates; Hominidae
Source: RNAcentral
UGUGCAGACCCCCUUUCAGGCCAUGCC